RNAcentral lists this transfer RNA (69 nucleotides) under Uroplatus guentheri. Its description in RNAcentral is "tRNA-Ala". Lineage: Eukaryota; Metazoa; Chordata; Lepidosauria; Squamata; Gekkonidae. The record is from RNAcentral.
GUAAAUUUUAAAAUACAUCUCCUGAAUGCAACCCAGACACUUUCAUUAAGCUAGCACCUCCUAGGCCAA